RNAcentral lists this ribosomal RNA (253 nucleotides) under uncultured bacterium. RNAcentral describes it as "partial 16S ribosomal RNA". It matches the Rfam family "Bacterial small subunit ribosomal RNA", at positions 524 to 776 of the family's 1533-position model. The record is from RNAcentral.
UACGAAGGGGGCUAGCGUUGCUCGGAAUCACUGGGCGUAAAGGGUGCGUAGGCGGGUCUUUAAGUCAGGGGUGAAAUCCUGGAGCUCAACUCCAGAACUGCCUUUGAUACUGAAGAUCUUGAGUUCGGGAGAGGGAUGCGGAAUUCCAGGUGUAGCGGUGAAAUGCGUAGAUAUCUGGAGGAACACCGGUGGCGAAGGCGGCAUCCUGGACCGACACUGACGCUGAGGAGCGAAAGCCAGGGGAGCAAACGGG